This is an RNA transcript of Populus euphratica (Euphrates poplar), 1173 nucleotides long. It is a transcript of the gene named methyl-CpG-binding domain protein 4-like, with no coding region annotated. The transcript has 4 exons. The record is from RefSeq and is a predicted model, not a curated record. Lineage: Eukaryota; Viridiplantae; Streptophyta; Magnoliopsida; Malpighiales; Salicaceae.
GGGCCUGAAAACAUUGGAUUGACUACAAAAGAGUCCAGCAGAAGGAAACUGCAUAAGACGAGCAUUUCUGACACCCAAUGGCAAUGCAGUUGAGCAUGGAAAGCUCAAGAGUAGGUGAGUUAGACUUAGAAGAAUGCAGCAAUUCCAACAAGGCAAAGAUGAGAAAGAAGAAACCAAUUUCGAAUCAGGAAGAAGAUAUAGAGAAGGACGCCAAUGUCAAUGGCAGGUCUAAGAAGAAGAAAGAAGGGACUAAAACGUCACUUCCUUCUGGUACUACUAGUCCUUAUUACAACAAGUUUGAUAAGGCUUACGAAAGGAAAACAGCAGACAACACAUGGAAGCCACCACAAUCUGAAUUUGGGUUCUUGCAUAAUCAUGCACAUGACCCCUGGAGAGUUUUGGUCAUUUGUAUGCUCCUUAAUCGCACUGCUGGUACUCGGGCUGAAAGAGUUGUAGCAGACCUCUUUACUCUGUGUCCUGAUGCUAAGGCUGCCACUGGGGUUGCCACAGAGGAGAUUGAAAGAGCAAUUAAAAGUCUAGGUUUACAAAAGAGGAGAGCAAAGAUGGUACAACGAUUAUCUGAAGACUAUUUACAGGAGGACUGGACCCAUGUCACUCAGUUGCCUGGUGUUGGAAAGUAUGCUGCUGAUGCACAUGCAAUAUUCUGCACAGGAAAGUGGGAGCAGGUUAGACCAAAUGAUCACAUGCUAAAUCGAUACUGGGAAUACCUAUGCAGUACCAAGAAUGCUUUGUCAUAAGCAUCAAUCUUUUGGAGGAGUUGUUCGUUGUUAGUGCAUGAGCUAAAUGCACGCAAUUGAAUACCAGAUAAAAUGUUGAUCAGAGGGGCGCAAAAUCUGUAGUGGAUGGAGCUAUGACCUUGUUAGUUUCAUAGGAGUCCACAUUUUGACGUCGCAUGAACUCAGGCGCUCUAGGCCAUCCUAGACUCGUUUCCCAUCCUAGCAAGUGGCUUAAAUGCGGAAGUACGGUUUACAUAAGCCGUAAAGCCACUGUCAAGUUGCUCGAGAAUUAGAAAUGGUUUUUCAUCUUGGGAUCGAAAAUGGGUUGGCGUUUCAUGUUUUGGCAUGCGAUCACACGAAGCAUUAAGACCUCAUGGUAGCAAGGACAUGUCUAUAAACCACUCAAAUCCAAAAUACAUAUAUAUGCAGACAAUAU